Long non-coding RNA from Trifolium pratense (red clover), 1295 nucleotides. RefSeq lists it as uncharacterized. The record is from RefSeq and is a predicted model, not a curated record. The transcript has 3 exons. NCBI's taxonomy places the organism in Eukaryota, Viridiplantae, Streptophyta, Magnoliopsida, Fabales, Fabaceae.
UUUAGCCACUUGAUCAUGGAAUUGUUUUGCCACGUGUUACGAUCUGAAUGCGUGACACUGUGAGCCUUGUCACACACGAUCACAGAGCUUAUUCAUCGUCUUCGCCGUUUCAAAGAAAUCGCUCGUCUACGCCGUCGCCGUUUCAAACCUUCUUCUCCAUCGUCUUCGCCGUUUCAAAGCUCCUUCUUCGUCGUCUUCUCCAUUAUGUCCAUCGUCCGUUCGUUGUAGUACUAGAGUAAGCUUAUUCUCCGUCGCCGUUUCAAAGAUUCUUCUCCAUCGUCUUCUCCAUUCUCUCUAUCGUCUGUUCAUUGUAGUACUAGAGUGUUUUGUAUAUCCCCUACCAUACAUAGCUAGCUAGUUGUGUAAGUUGCUGGGAUUAAUCAGGGAUCAAGCUGCGGCAAUCAUACGUAGAUGUAGGUAAUAGACCAGUAACUGGCCUUAGAUUACAAUUGGAAGGGAAAAGAAGCAACCGGCUUGCCAUUCAUCUGCAGCAUCUGGCUUCUCUACCGAAGUCCUUAUCACUUGCAGACAGUGCAAAUGCUUAUUCGUCUUGUGACUUGUAUAGUUGCAAGUACCAUAAGAAACUGAAAUAAUCUCCCCAUCUCAGAUUGAACUCUCUCUCAGCUCCAACGCCGCUCUCUCUCACUGCAACGCCGCUCUCUCUCACUCCAACGUCGCUCUCUCUCAGCUCAAUGGAUUCACAAACUGUUCGCUCCGACUCUGCUAUCUGACGCCGACGUAGCUUGUUCCAACGUCGUCGUAUCUUGCCGCCGACGUAGCUCGCUCCGACGCCGACGACAACUCUUAUUUGUUAUUUUUAGGUAUUGAUUCCAUCUUUUAAUAUUUUGAUUCAAUCUCUUAUAGCUUGAAGCUAAAUUGAAGCAUUAUUGAAGCUAAAUUGUUAUGUUCCACGAGCUUGAAGAUUAAUUAGGUUCAAUUUAGUAUCAAAAUUGGCAUAAAAGUAUGCGUUUUGCAACUUCACAAAUACACGCUAUUAAGGCUAUUGAUGCAAUACCAUUCAGCAUGUUUCUUUCAGAAUCUGUUGAUAUGUUAGCUAGUUUGGAUCCAUAUCAACUUACUAAGGCUAUUUUGUGAUCAUGUUUAGAUAAAAUUUAUCCGGGUUGUGCAUUAGUUUGUGCAUUAGAUAAAAAUCUUACUAAGGCUAUUUUGUGAUCAUGUUUAGAUAAAAUUUAGGGCGGUGCAGGUGUGCAACACAAUUAAGAAAUGUGGAGAUAUAAGUUUGAGCUCAUAGUAUUUUAUGUUUCUGUACUAUAAGAGUGAUGUGUGAUGACAAA